GACGAACGCUGGCGGCGUGCCUAAUACAUGCAAGUAGAACGCUGAAACUUGGUGCUUGCACCGAGCGGAUGAGUUGCGAACGGGUGAGUAACGCGUAGGUAACCUGCCUGGUAGCGGGGGAUAACUAUUGGAAACGAUAGCUAAUACCGCAUAAGAGUAGAUGUUGCAUGACAUUUGCUUAAAAGGUGCAAUUGCACCACUACCAGAUGGACCUGCGUUGUAUUAGCUAGUUGGUGGGGUAACGGCUCACCAAGGCGACGAUACAUAGCCGACCUGAGAGGGUGAUCGGCCACACUGGGACUGAGACACGGCCCAGACUCCUACGGGAGGCAGCAGUAGGGAAUCUUCGGCAAUGGACGGAAGUCUGACCGAGCAACGCCGCGUGAGUGAAGAAGGGUUUCGGAUCGUAAAGCUCUGUUGUAAGAGAAGAACGAGUGUGAGAGUGGAAAGUUCACACUGUGACGGUAGCUUACCAGAAAGGGACGGCUAACUACGUG
Molecule: ribosomal RNA, 497 nt
Filed under: uncultured bacterium
Lineage: Bacteria
Description: partial 16S ribosomal RNA
Rfam family: Bacterial small subunit ribosomal RNA
Source: RNAcentral